GAUGAACGCUGGCGGCGUGCCUAAUACAUGCAAGUCGAGCGAACAGACGAGGAGCUUGCUCCUCUGACGUUAGCGGCGGACGGGUGAGUAACACGUGGAUAACCUACCUAUAAGACUGGGAUAACUUCGGGAAACCGGAGCUAAUACCGGAUAAUAUAUUGAACCGAAUGGUUCAAUAGUGAAAGACGGUUUUGCUGUCACUUAUAGAUGGAUCCGCGCCGCAUUAGCUAGUUGGUAAGGUAACGGCUUACCAAGGCAACGAUGCGUAGCAGACCUGAGAGGAUGAACGACCACACUAAGACUGAGACACGAACAAGACUCCUAGAGGAGGCAGCAGUAGGGAAUCUUCCGCAAUGGGCGAAAACCUGACGGAGCAACGCCGAGUGAGUGAUGAACCUCUUCGGAUCGUAAAACUCUGUUAUUAGAGAAGAACAAAUGUGUAAGUAACUAUGCACGUCUUGACAGUACCUAAACAGAAAGCCACGGCUAACUACGUG
Molecule: ribosomal RNA, 497 nt
Filed under: uncultured bacterium
Lineage: Bacteria
Description: partial 16S ribosomal RNA
Rfam family: Bacterial small subunit ribosomal RNA
Source: RNAcentral